This 321-nucleotide ribosomal RNA is filed under the name Salmonella enterica. RNAcentral describes it as "partial 23S ribosomal RNA". It matches the Rfam family "Bacterial large subunit ribosomal RNA", at positions 711 to 1029 of the family's 2925-position model. Lineage: Bacteria; Pseudomonadati; Pseudomonadota; Gammaproteobacteria; Enterobacterales; Enterobacteriaceae. The record is from RNAcentral. RNAcentral also lists the same sequence under 3 other names.
AGACCCGAAACCCGGUGAUCUAGCCAUGGGCAGGUUGAAGGUUGGGUAACACUAACUGGAGGACCGAACCGACUAAUGUUGAAAAAUUAGCGGAUGACCUGUGGCUGGGGGUGAAAGGCCAAUCAAACCGGGAGAUAGCUGGUUCUCCCCGAAAGCUAUUUAGGUAGCGCCUCGUGAAUUCAUCUCCGGGGGUAGAGCACUGUUUCGGCUAGGGGGCCAUCCCGGCUUACCAACCCGAUGCAAACUGCGAAUACCGGAGAAUGUUAUCACGGGAGACACACGGCGGGUGCUAACGUCCGUCGUGAAGAGGGAAACAACCCA